GAUGAACGCUGGCGGCGUGCCUAAUACAUGCAAGUCGAGCGAACAGACGAGGAGCUUGCUUCUCUGACGUUAGCGGCGGACGGGUGAGUAACACGUGGAUAACCUACCUAUAAGACUGGGAUAACUUCGGGAAACCGGUGCUAAUACCGGAUAAUAUAUUGAACCGCAUGGUUCAAUAGUGAAAGACGGUUUUGCUGUCACUUAUAGAUGGAUCCGCGCCGCAUUAGCUAGUUGGUAAGGUAACGGCUUACCAAGGCAACGAUGCGUAGCCGACCUGAGAGGGUGAUCGGCCACACUGGAACUGAGACACGGUCCAGACUCCUACGGGAGGCAGCAGUAGGGAAUCUUCCGCAAUGGGCGAAAGCCUGACGGAGCAACGCCGCGUGAGUGAUGAAGGUCUUCGGAUCGUAAAACUCUGUUAUUAGGGAAGAACAAAUGUGUAAGUAACUAUGCACGUCUUGACGGUACCUAAUCAGAAAGCCACGGCUAACUACGUG
RNAcentral lists this ribosomal RNA (497 nucleotides) under uncultured bacterium. Its description in RNAcentral is "partial 16S ribosomal RNA". It matches the Rfam family "Bacterial small subunit ribosomal RNA", at positions 28 to 507 of the family's 1533-position model. The record is from RNAcentral.